GUCUAUGUAAUUUAUAUAAAAUACCGGUCUUGUAAAUCGGAUAAAGGUUUCUCCUCUUAGGCU
RNAcentral lists this transfer RNA (63 nucleotides) under Striatobalanus tenuis. RNAcentral describes it as "tRNA-Thr". The record is from RNAcentral. Lineage: Eukaryota; Metazoa; Arthropoda; Thecostraca; Balanomorpha; Balanidae.